This is a long non-coding RNA of Acanthopagrus latus (yellowfin seabream), 4806 nucleotides long. RefSeq lists it as uncharacterized. The transcript has 8 exons. NCBI's taxonomy places the organism in Eukaryota, Metazoa, Chordata, Actinopteri, Spariformes, Sparidae. The record is from RefSeq and is a predicted model, not a curated record.
GCACACACACACACACACACACACACGAGUGCCUGCCUCUACGCGUGCGUGCGUGUUUUGUUUGUGCCGCGUCGUGCGUGUGUGUGUGUGUGUGUUCUGAGGACAAUGGAUGGGCUCCUGAUGAAAUAUUCAAGAAAGAGCAGCACGUUGCCUGUAAGGUGUUAGAGGUCACAUCAGCCGGGGGAAAGAGGAGGAGGAAGAGGAAGAAACAGCAACGAGCCGUGGAGGUGACGACAUUCUCAUUGAUGUACACCACAGGAUGACUGAAAGACCUGGAGCUUCUGAUAUUGCAUGGAUUGACGGCACUUGGGUGGUCCCCUCCAAUCAGUCUGAAAAGCAGGUCGUAGCAUGGCCACAUGUCAGCCAAGGGUCGCAAAGGAGUUCAGGUCAGAGAAACCCUCUCCGCUGCUUCAUCAAAUCCAACCUGACAUCAGUUGGCUGUUUUCUAACCACAGAGUGACCUACUGCAUUUACUGUAGGUGGGGUCAGAUCACUUGUUAUUCUCAGUCUACGCAGAUUUAUGGACUUUGGAACGACAAGGCGUCGCAGUCCAUCAUCUAUAGAAGCAGAUGCAACGUAGACCUUCAAUCAACUCAUCUCAGAUGGUCUCAGACGGCUAUGCGAGACGCUCGGCGAGGAGGGGAGAAGUGAUGCAUAGCCUCUCCUUCUUUGCUGCUCUCAGCACGCUGUGACACCGGAGGCAUGAUGGCAUUAUUAUGCCCAUAAAGGUGUGAACACUGGGAAAAAUCUACACAUUUAGGAAUAGCACGAGGGCUGCUCUGUGGCUAGGUUAUCUGUAGCAUUGUAAGCAUCUGCUCAACUUUUUGCGGUUUAUCUUUGCAUCUGUGUUUGUGUUCUGUCUGCGUGUACAUUUUUUCUUUUUCUUCUUCACUUGAGCCGGUAUGCACAUUUCUUUGUUCGGGAGCUUAUAUAUGCGCACUAAGUUUCCAGCCCACUGCGUGUAAUCAAGUGUGUUUUGUGUGACCGUCUUGUGUGUCGUUGCUGAACUGCUUUUGAGCUUAUCGUGGGAUUAUGUUUCUGUGUCAGACCUACUUUUACCUUUUAUCAGUAUUUUUAGCCCCUUCUUUUUUAUAUUCAGGUUUUUCCAUUCGGCCAUCAUCUUAAUGAACACAUACAUGUAUUUUUUUUUUUGAUUAUUAUUAUUAUUCCUCCCUUCAUAUUUAAGUCCACAGGCUUUUCCGGUAAUCCUAUCAGUUCGGCCUUACCCCCUAACCCCGCGACUCUCCUCCGGGCUCCAGCAGUAAUAAAAGAAAAGCAUAAUCCAGUGUUUAGAAAUAUGAGAUUUGCUUGUUGGAAUCCAGCGAGCCAUGUUGGAUUAAGGGUGGCCCAGGCUGGCCUAGAGGAGGUGGCUCUGUGCCCCCUGGUGAUCCUGGCCUCUGGGAUGGAGACAGGGAGGAGAUGUGUGAAAAGUACAAAGUUGGUGACAUCAAAAUGAAAAUGGUUUCUUCAGAUGCAGGAAAAAAUCAGACAAAACAGACAUUUUCUGCGUGUUGUUGAUUUUUUUUCUGUGUAAGCGUGUGUGUGUGUGUGUGUGUGUGUGUGUGUGUGUGCGCAUCGAGGAAGAACAUGGGUGUGUGUUCGUGUUAUUUAUGGCUGCCAGGAUCUGAGAUGAUAGAACAGGAAAUUGGGCCGCUUUUUCAUUUUUUUCCCUCCCUUUCUGUUUUUCAUACUGCACCCCGCUCAUUUCUUUAAUACCCUCUAAAAUGUAAAUCCGUAUGCACACAUGCAUCCCGGACAAUGCGCUCGAUGUGAAUUUUAUGUAAAAUGUACCCAUAACUCUAGCGGGACGGUGUAACGUAUGACUCGCUGUAAUUUCAUUACGUAAAAGGGUUUUGUGUUUGUUGGAGAGCGGGAGGUAUAUGCAUGCGUGUGUGUGUGUGUGUGAGUGUGUUUAUGGUGCGUUUGUGUUUGUGGGUUAAGAAGACAGAAGAAGUGAUUAUUAGUAAAGCCUUAUGUUUGUGUCGUGCCUGCGCACAACUGUGCAGGGUCGAGGGGUGAAUGUGUGUCAACAUUGAUAACGCAGAGAUGCAAAGUGGGCAGGGGGGCAUUAAAUAAAGAGGGGAGCCUUUCAUUGACAUUAGAAUAAUCCAAGCAGUUUUUUGUUUGCACUCAUGUAGGUAGGCAAUCUACAUAUGGGGCUGAAUUGGAAAGGUCCGAUCCCAAUAAUUUCUAAUAUUCUAAGUAAUGUAAAGUAGAGGCUGAUCUCAACUUCGGUGACCCUUACGAGAAAAACAUAAAUGAAGAUUAGAAAUAUGCUUUUAUUUUGUUAAGUGCGUUUUAUUAUGCCGUUUAAAGAAAGCACUUCCAGGAGACCUACGUACACAUUCGCGUAAAUUGUAAAAUGCGUCAUUUUGUGUUUUUAAAACAUGUUUUUUCUUUUAUAUAAAAGUUUCAUCGAUCAUACAGCGUGACCUACUGUUUCUUUAUAGCAAAAUAAAAAAUGAAAUCAAAUCCCAACUAUAACUGCACUCAGUUAUAGUUGAAAAAAAAGGUAAACUGAUGAACGAUGGAUGCUCAAGGCCGAACAUUGAACAGCUAGACUAUUCAGACAAUGUUCUCAUAUCUGUACUGUUAAGACUCUAAUUUUCCCCUUCAACUGCUAAAUAUGAAAUUUACCUUGAUCACUUCCUCUGCUAACCUGGUGAACAACACCUUCCAAUAAAUACAUAUUCUCACGAACGAUACCUGAUAAUGUGAUAUACCGUGAAUACACAUUCAGUCGUCCGGUGUGUUUUUAUCGCUCUGCAUGUCCUUGUGGCUGCAUGUUAAUACCUCCACACUGCUGCUCUGCUUACACCAUAAUUCUCACAUAUAUGUCCUUGUGUGGAUUUCAUUCAAUUAGUGUAAUUAGGGGGCCGAGCUGGGCCGAGUAUUCCGUCUUUUCAUGCAUUAUUUUUUAGCCAUUAACCUUCCGCCCCCGUACCUUUAUGCUUCCAUCUGUGUGUGUGUGAAGCAGCUCAGGAGGUGGUACACUGAGCUGUCUCGGUCUUUCUCUUUUUUUCUCUUUUUUUGAUGUUUGCAUGUUUAAAGACGAAGUUGUGUCUGUGUGUCCACUGUACAUUUUCUUCAUAUCUUCUUGUGGCUGUAACAUCCUUCCCUUCAGUCUCUUUCACAUCCUCUCUCUGUCUGCUUAAACAGGCAUUGUACACACACUGCACACGCAUGUAAACACCGGCGCUCAUACACAGAUGAACACCUUUUGUUUUAUAAAGGAACUGCCAAUCUUUAAUGUGGAAAUCAUGCUCUGCUGAUAUUGAUCCAGGUUGCUCAGUGGGGGCGGUGUCGCCACUUACUAGCGAUAGCAGCGAGGCGAGCUGUGAGUGCGUUCCUUCAUAUUUGUGUGGUGUGUGUGUUUUUAUGUGUCUCGCUUCCUGUGUGUGUGUGUGUGUGUGUGUGUGUAAGCUGUACCAGACACUCCAGUCUAUUGGAUUGAGAUUCAUUCGCUAUUUAAGGGUCAGGGUUCGGGCCACGUGUGCGCUGCUUGCCUCGCUGAUCAAUACCGCUGCCACACACCCUGCCUGACCCCGGCAUUUUGUCACCGUAAAUCCCCCCGGCUCCCUUUUUCUCCUCUCUGUUGGCCCCCCUUCUCCUCCUCCUCAACCUCCCUUUUCUUUUUUUCACCUUUUUUUCACCUUUUUUUUUUUUUUUUUUUGCGUCUUAAGUCACUGAAAGAAGUGAUGGAUUCAAGGGGGAGCACUUUGUAAGAUCUAAAUACAUUUAAUGUAGUCGGGGAUGGGCCUUUGAUGGCUAAUGCUUGGAGAUUCAAGUGAUGGGCUUGUCUCAGGAGGGAUGUGCAGAGCAGAGGAAGGAGCCAUGUGUCCCUCCUCAUCUGAUGAUGACUCCGUUUGUGGGAGGAGAAAGUUGUUUUAGCAGGAGCUUGUGUUUCGUUGGAAAGCCCCAUUAGCGUUUCAUUCCUCUCAGGUACAAAUAAACUACAGAUUGGGAACUUAUUUUAAAAUACCAAAAUGUUGAAUUAUCGGUUUCUCAUUGGUGGAAGUGGGUAAUUAUUUAUUGAAAAAUGUCUUAACCAAUAAAAUUGCCAACCAAAGUCUGACAAAACUAAUUUAGCCUAAUGUCAACUGGCUAAAAUGAACUGGAAAUGUCGUAGGUGAGAAUUUUUUCUGGCAAAGAUUAUGAUCUCUGACCUUCAGGCAUUUUAGGUGCACAAUGGCAAACAUCUCACAGCCUCCUUGUGUAUAUAAACAAACCAGAGCAGGAAAUAUGAUGCACAAAGGAACAGACACCUUUAUACAUUUUAUUUUAUGCCACCCUAUCUAAAUAUUUCACUCACUUACCCAGUGCAAGCUGGGUUAAAGUUAUUUGGCAACAAGUUAAUGAGUUAAGUUGUGAAAAUGUUGCCAGUGUCUAAGAAGUUACUGGCCUCCUUUUUCCUGUCCAUGCACAUCCAGGUAGAGACACAGGCAAAAAUAAAAACACACAACACAUUUGUCCUCCCUCCGUGUCCUUCACACAUCCUCCAGCCUGCUCCUCAUUCCAUACGAAAUGCAAACACGGUGCCCCUUCACCUCUCAUCACUUCUGCUCUACAUACCCCCCUCCCCUCCGUCCCCUCCCUCCACCUCUCCUGCCUUUCCUUCCCCUCCAUCUCCGGGCCGACGGUGUCAGCCGUCACGCUGCGCAGACGUGUCUGCCUGUCUGCUUUGAUAUAGUAGCAUAAGGUUUGCCUGAUCACCAAGGUCAGGGACGAACAAUCUAUUCAAUCCACUCAUUAUUAUUAGGGGUAUAAAUAAAUUUGGGUUGGGAGGCUGCACCUUGAACCUUGAAC